This 492-nucleotide ribosomal RNA is filed under the name uncultured bacterium. RNAcentral describes it as "partial 16S ribosomal RNA". It matches the Rfam family "Bacterial small subunit ribosomal RNA", at positions 29 to 507 of the family's 1533-position model. The record is from RNAcentral.
AGUGAACGCUGGCGGUAGGCCUAACACAUGCAAGUCGAACGGCAGCACAGUAAGAGCUUGCUCUUCCGGGUGGCGAGUGGCGGACGGGUGAGGAAUACAUCGGAAUCUACUUUUUCGUGGGGGAUAACGUAGGGAAACUUACGCUAAUACCGCAUACGACCUACGGGUGAAAGCAGGGGAUCUUCGGACCUUGCGCGAUUGAAUGAGCCGAUGUCGGAUUAGCUAGUUGGCGGGGUAAAGGCCCACCAAGGCGACGAUCCGUAGCUGGUCUGAGAGGAUGAUCAGCCACACUGGAACUGAGACACGGUCCAGACUCCUAAGGGAGGCAGCAGUGGGGAAUAUUGGACAAUGGGCGCAAGCCUGAUCCAGCCAUACCGCGUGGGUGAAGAAGGCCUUCGGGUUGUAAAGACCUUUUGUUGGGAAAGAAAAGCAGCAGGUUAAUACCCAGCUGUUCUGACGGUACCCAAAGAAUAAGCACCGGCUAACUUCGUG